RNAcentral lists this ribosomal RNA (458 nucleotides) under uncultured bacterium. RNAcentral's name for it is "partial 16S ribosomal RNA". It matches the Rfam family "Bacterial small subunit ribosomal RNA", at positions 338 to 795 of the family's 1533-position model. The record is from RNAcentral.
CCUACGGGAGGCAGCAGUGGGGAAUAUUGCACAAUGGGGGAAACCCUGAUGCAGCGACGCCGCGUGAGUGAAGAAGUAUUUCGGUACGUAAAGCUCUAUCAGCAGGGAAGAAAAACCGGCCUUAGGGCCGCCAGACGGUACCUGACUAAGAAGCCCCGGCUAACUACGUGCCAGCAGCCGCGGGAAGACGUAGGGGGCAAGCGGUAUCCGUAUUUCCUGGGUGUAAAGGGAGCGUAGACGGCAGCGCAAGUCUGGAGGGAAAUGCCGGGGCCCAACCCCCGAACUGCUUUGGAAACUGUGCAGCUGGAGUGCAGGAGAGGUAAGCGGAAUGCGUAGUGUAGCGGUGAAAUGCGUAGAUAUUAGGAGGAACACCAGUGGCGAAGGCGGCUUACUGGACUGUAACUGACGUUGAGGCUCGAAAGCGUGGGGAGCAAACAGGAUUAGAUACCCCUGUAGUC